UGAACUUGCAAAAUAAAAUUGUUAAGUUAAAACUUAUGAUAGAAAAAUUCACUCUAAAUUUAAAUAAACUUCAAAUGAUACUUGAUAAUCAAAAAAUUGUUUAUGAUAAAGUCGGUCUUGGCUAUAACCCUUUAAAAAAAUAAAAAUUUCUGAAAAAUAUCUUUGUAAACUCAUCAAGUAACAAGUUUUUAAAUAUUACUUGCUUUAAAUAUGGUAAAGUAGGACACAAAUUCUAUACAUAUUUCUCUAGCAAAUCUGAAAAUUUUAAUGUGA
RNAcentral lists this long non-coding RNA (273 nucleotides) under Elaeis guineensis (African oil palm). Its description in RNAcentral is "long non-coding RNA (EGUI_LNC075903)". The record is from RNAcentral. Lineage: Eukaryota; Viridiplantae; Streptophyta; Magnoliopsida; Arecales; Arecaceae.